CAGUUGGAGCUAGACCGCUAUCAUUCUCUUUAUUUGGUUCGUUUGUAAUGUAAUGAAGUGGAAGCACGAAACGAACCAAAGAAGAGAAUGGUUGCGGUCAGUCAGUUGUAGUGAAUUG
This 118-nucleotide non-coding RNA is filed under the name Symbiodinium sp. CCMP2430. The record is from RNAcentral. Lineage: Eukaryota; Dinophyceae; Suessiales; Symbiodiniaceae.